This 74-nucleotide transfer RNA is filed under the name Streptomyces sp. H39-S7. Its description in RNAcentral is "tRNA-Glu". It matches the Rfam family "tRNA". Rfam says of the family: Transfer RNA (tRNA) molecules are approximately 80 nucleotides in length. Their secondary structure includes four short double-helical elements and three loops (D, anti-codon, and T loops). Lineage: Bacteria; Bacillati; Actinomycetota; Actinomycetes; Kitasatosporales; Streptomycetaceae. The record is from RNAcentral.
GUCCCCAUGGAGUAAUGGCAACUCAGCAGGUUCUCAACCUGUAGUCGCGGGUUCAAUUCCCGCUGGGGGUACCA